This 419-nucleotide ribosomal RNA is filed under the name bacterium. Its description in RNAcentral is "partial 16S ribosomal RNA". It matches the Rfam family "Bacterial small subunit ribosomal RNA", at positions 355 to 776 of the family's 1533-position model. The record is from RNAcentral.
UGGGGGAUAUUGCACAAUGGGCGAAAGCCUGAUGCAGCGACGCCGCGUGGGGGAUGAAGGCCUUCGGGUUGUAAACUUCUUUUGCUCUGAACAAGGCAUGCUAAUGGGUGUGUUGAGUGUAGGGGUUGAUUAGCGCCGGCUAACUACGUGCCAGCAGCCGCGGUAAUACGUAGGGCGCGAGCGUUGUCCGGAAUUAUUGGGCGUAAAGGGCUUGUAGGUGGCUGGUUGCGUCUGUCGUGAAAGCUCAUGGCUUAACUGUGGGUUUGCGGUGGGUACGUGAUGGCUUGAGUGCAGUAGGGGAGGCUGGAAUUCCUGGUGUAGCGGUGGAAUGCGCAGAUAUCAGGAGGAAUACCGGUGGCGAAGGCGGGUCUCUGGGCUGUUACUGACACUGAGGAGCGAAAGCAUGGGGAGCGAACAGG